RNAcentral lists this ribosomal RNA (492 nucleotides) under uncultured bacterium. RNAcentral's name for it is "bacterial SSU rRNA". It matches the Rfam family "Bacterial small subunit ribosomal RNA", at positions 16 to 507 of the family's 1533-position model. The record is from RNAcentral.
AUCCUGGCUCAGAUUGAACGCUGGCGGAAUGCUUUACACAUGCAAGUCGAACGGCAGCGGACCUUCGGGUGCCGGCGAGUGGCGAACGGUGAGUAAUAUAUCGGAACGUACCUUUCAGUGGGGAUAACGUAGCGAAAGUUACGCUAAUACCGCAUAUUCUGUGAGCAGGAAAGCAGGGGAUCGCAAGACCUUGCGCUGAUUGAGCGGCCGAUAUCAGAUUAGCUAGUUGGUGAGGUAAAGGCUCACCAAGGCGACGAUCUGUAGCGGGUCUGAGAGGAUGAUCCGCCACACUGGAACUGAGACACGGUCCAGACUCCUACGGGAGGCAGCAGUGGGGAAUUUUGGACAAUGGGCGCAAGCCUGAUCCAGCCAUGCCGCGUGAGUGAAGAAGGCCUUCGGGUUGUAAAGCUCUUUCGGCCGGGAAGAAAUCGCACAGGUUAAUACCCUGUGUGGAUGACGGUACCGGAAUAAGAAGCACCGGCUAACUACGUG